This 253-nucleotide ribosomal RNA is filed under the name uncultured bacterium. RNAcentral describes it as "partial 16S ribosomal RNA". It matches the Rfam family "Bacterial small subunit ribosomal RNA", at positions 524 to 776 of the family's 1533-position model. The record is from RNAcentral.
GACGUAGGGCGCGAGCGUUGUCCGGAUUUAUUGGGCGUAAAGAGCUCGUAGGCGGCUCGUUGCGUCGGCUGUGAAAACCCGCAGCUCAACUGUGGGCUUGCAGCUGAUACGGGCGGGCUGGGAUUCGGUAGGGGAGACUGGAAUUCCUGGUGUAGCGGUGAAAUGCGCAGAUAUCAGGAGGAACACCGAUGGCGAAGGCAGGUCUCUGGGCAUUAACUGACGCUGAGGAGCGAAAGCAUGGGGAGCGAACAGG